This is a long non-coding RNA of Perca flavescens (yellow perch), 374 nucleotides long. RefSeq lists it as uncharacterized. NCBI's taxonomy places the organism in Eukaryota, Metazoa, Chordata, Actinopteri, Perciformes, Percidae. The transcript is spliced from 3 exons. The record is from RefSeq and is a predicted model, not a curated record.
CUAACACUUCCGCUCCAGCUAUUUUCAGCCACAUGGACAUCGUCAUCGAACAUAUUCUGCCAGUUUCCCAAAGUUUUUCUCUGUCGGAGUAUACCUUCAAACCGGUUUCAGCACCUGCUGACAGAUUACACCGGCGAGCUGCGAAUAUACUCCAAGAAACGAAAUCAUCAACCUAUCACCCAACAUAGAGGACAUCAAAACCAGAUGGCCUGCUCUAUUUGAGCCCUCUCAAAUCCAGGAUGAGUUUCACAGAAUCACAAUGGUGCAUCUUGAAUCAAAGUUCAUGUCUAAGCUGGAUGAAUACACUCCGAGGCUUCUGAACAUCUUCCACUCCAAAGGUGGAACCAUGGGGUUGAGGUUGCAGGCCAUCCUAC